UUUCUUUUUGAAUUGAAAAUUUAAAUUGCAAUCACAACAUUGCAGUUGAUGGAAAAAUUUGUUAACCAGGAUCUUAUUUCUGCAGGGUCUUCGAGUUAGUCAUAAAAAGUACAAGGACAUGCGGGUUUGGCUUCUGUUUCUCGCCUUGAAGAUGCUGUGAUAUCGUUUUCUGCUCUGUUCAGAUUCUUUUCAGGUCCGGUGUAGAAGUCACAGUUUACAAUCAUAAUGCAUUUUGCCCUUUAAGCAAGCUAUUUCAUGUCACAACUCAUUUCUGAUCUAGUUGUUUUUGUGCAAUGUCCGGACUGCAUAAUGCCUCCUGCUUUAAUUAUUGUCCAAUGCUUCCGGUUAUUUGAAUUGCCCACUUCAAGAAAUGUUUUGAGUGAUGUGUGCUCAUCUGACUGUCAAUUUUACUGUGUCUAAGCCCACCUAUGCGAUGGCAAGUGGAAUUAUAUGGAAAAAUGGAAGAUGGAUUUUAUCAUGUCUCCAUGAAGCAUUUUUUAUGACCUUUGAUUAAGGGAACAUACAAACAUAGUUCAAUAUUUCCUAUCUUUUCACUUGCAGCUCCUUGUUGACUUUUCUCUUGGGAAUGUUGUGAAUGGUAAGUGCAUAUCCUGAUCAUUCAGUUCUUAAUUGUGAUAUUGCAUAUUUCUCUAGCAUGUCACUGUGGCAGAAGGCUAGCUAUAGAAAGCAUCUGUUUGACCAGACUUCGUUAAGGUGCUUUCAUUCAAGUCCAGCACUUUUGGCUAGAGGUGAUAGGCAAUUUGGUUUGAGGACUCCCAAGAGAGAAGAAUAUUCGAAGAGAGAAUAGGACCCAACCACCCAUUGAGGUUCCAUAUGUGCCACCUAAAGUGAAAACAAUGACAAAGUCCUCUGUGGCUAAAUCAAUCGACAUUUUUGCAGGCAUGGCAAUAGUCGAACUCGCCAAGCUUACUGGUGAGUCAUUAUCUUCCCUGCAAGAUAUUCCUCUGAAUGUUGGGGAGAAGGUUGAAUCAGAAUUUGAUCCUCUCAGCAUUGAUAUUGCGGAGCUUGUUGCAAUGUUGCAGGGACUUACUUUGUACCCUAUACAUC
Rhodamnia argentea is the source of this 1068-nucleotide long non-coding RNA. RefSeq lists it as uncharacterized. The transcript has 3 exons. The record is from RefSeq and is a predicted model, not a curated record. NCBI's taxonomy places the organism in Eukaryota, Viridiplantae, Streptophyta, Magnoliopsida, Myrtales, Myrtaceae.